CCCGACCAUGCCCAUUGAGAAGCCCUAGCAAGAAGCAAUUUCAAUUACAAGAAUACUCUCUCCACCCUUUAGCCUCUUUUUUCUAAACUCCUAGGCCCCAUUUGGUUCAUGGGAUAGGAGACUUGGGGAUGGGAAAUCAAUUACUUUCUCAUGUUUGGUAAGUCCAGACAUGUGAAAUCGUUGUCUAGCCCAUGGGAAAGUAGGAGGGAAAGUGAAGCCAUCCUCCCAACUUGGGUUUUGUUUUCCCUCCUCAUGGGAAAGUUUGGGAAAAUGAGCCAAUAUUAAAUAAAAAAAUUUCAUGAAUAUUUUGUCCCCAUUAACAAUUUAGAAUUACUAUAUAUCAUUAAAUGUAUUUUUUUAUUUGAUUUAAUAUGGGCAUAAUUGAAAAUUUAUACAAACUUUAUUUUCCAUUCCUACUCAAAACAAACACAGGAAAGGAAAUAAAGUGAUAUUUCCUGGUUACUUUCCUAGCAUUACCAAACGUGGGAAAAGAAUAUUUCAUUUCUCAUCCUUUCGAAAAUGACAUGGAAAAUAAUUUCCCUUCAAAUUCAUUCCGUGAACCAAAUGGGGUCCUAGUUCUUAAUCUAUCUCUUUCAUCAUUACUUG
Molecule: long non-coding RNA, 606 nt
Filed under: Prunus persica (peach)
Lineage: Eukaryota; Viridiplantae; Streptophyta; Magnoliopsida; Rosales; Rosaceae
Description: long non-coding RNA (PPER_LNC003183)
Source: RNAcentral